GGGGAGGGGGUUGGGAGCUCCGAGAAAGGGGAAGGGGGUUGGGAUCGGCGGCGUGCGUCGUCGGUACCGCCUGGCGUGGAAGUCGCGGCCGUCGACGGCGAGCAGGUACGACACUUCGGUAGGGGCGGGACGAGCGGAGGCAGGCGGCGGCAGCGCCUGGUAGAGGAGGCAGGGGCUGGUGUGUAGGGGCGGGAGCAGACGGCGGUAGUGGCUGGCCGAGGAGGCAGGGGUUGUUCAGUAGGGGCAGGACGAGCGGCAGAAGGCGGCUUCUUGGGCCGCCGACACAGCUAAGAGACGGAGGGGCUGGUGGAGAAGGCUAAAACGCUUCCAUUACGAACAACCUUAACCUCAGAAACAAUAGUAAGAACCAGUUCUAAAACGUGUAUCAACCUACGACCAGUAAAAUCCGCACCUGUGUGUACCGGUGGAUGGCGGGUAGCGGCCCGUGGCUCGAACAACAGGGCAGUACGUAGAGCUACCACACGGAGAGUUAAAUCGGAUCCUCUUUUAGUUUACCAAUUUAUACCCAAUAGUCGAGUUCACGCGUCUAAUCUUCAAGCCGGUACAAAAACGGUAACAGCCCUACGACCAGUAAAAUCCGUACCUGCGUGUACCGGUGUACGGCGGGUAGCGGUCCUCGGCUCGAACAGCAGGGCAGCACGUAGAGCUACCACACGGCGAGUUAAAUCGGAGCCAUUAAGGUACAGAUGACCACUGCGAGCGCGACCUUUGGUCUCCACCGUAGAACCAGAAGAGGUACGCUUGUGGUGUAGAGGCUGCCACGUCGGUACCGUGCUCCCGCGGCUCGACUAGAGGGUUCCGAGGAGCGGCUGCGUACUGUUACGGGUGGAGGUACGACUAACUCGAAAAGGUGAACAGGUUGUACUAGUUAAUAGACAAUAUCUUAAAUACGAUAGUCAACAAACAUCAACACGAGACUUAUCUACAGGGGACGAACAUUAUCUAUUAGUGUGAAACGAUAUUAUGUAACUUCUCGGUCACGAAGAUACGUCGUUGGGGUGUGUUUAACAUUUGUUCUUAUACUUUCCGUGCACAUGGUUGGACCGUGGCGGGGUUAGUGGAGAGUCCACCGCGGUAUCCCACCGCGGUUACUUCCGAGCGAACGGUUCCCGACCACCAAUUUCAGAGAAAAUAACCACGCCAUCACCACUCGCGUUACGUACCACGUCAUCGGACCUCUCCGCAGGUUUCGCCGAAUCCUUCCCUGCGUGGACACUGGUGUGGACACUUCGCUGUUACUUGUACCGAUUACGGUUGUGAGGUACCGACGUUAACUCCUUCUCUCUCGUUUCUGGGUCCUCGAAGACCGCCUGCUUUCCUCCGUCCGCCGCCUCUCCCUCUCCCUCUAACUCCUCUCCCGCCGAUCCGAAAACGACCUCCUCUCCUUGGCCUUGCUGAACCGAUUGGCCCGGUAUAUGGUCGAGAAGCGCAGGUACACGCUCUUCUUGUCAGUCUGGGGAGGCGGCUACGGUCAGUAACGAGGCCGCCUGUGCGUAUUGAGGGCUGUUCGUAGCUGCAGACGGUAACCGCGCUCGUUCUUGGGGCUAGGAGGAGGCAGACGGUGAUGGCGCUCGUUCUUGGAGCUAGGAAGUGGAUGGCCAACUGCUAAACGAAGUCUAGUGCCUUCGAACCCAACUACCUCACGAACAGAAAUCAAAAACAAAACUGAAACACUUUGAACGAUGGAUGCUACUUUGACACAUUAUAACUAUUUUGAUACAUAUACAUACCUACUUUGAACGAUGAUAACCAUUGUACACAACCUAUACACAACCUAUAUAAACGCAAGUACGGAUAACCAUUAUACACA
RNAcentral lists this ribosomal RNA (1831 nucleotides) under Triticum aestivum (bread wheat). Its description in RNAcentral is "partial small subunit ribosomal RNA". The record is from RNAcentral. Lineage: Eukaryota; Viridiplantae; Streptophyta; Magnoliopsida; Poales; Poaceae.